This 251-nucleotide ribosomal RNA is filed under the name Pseudoalteromonas sp. SR44-8. Its description in RNAcentral is "partial 23S ribosomal RNA". It matches the Rfam family "Bacterial large subunit ribosomal RNA", at positions 528 to 782 of the family's 2925-position model. Lineage: Bacteria; Pseudomonadati; Pseudomonadota; Gammaproteobacteria; Alteromonadales; Pseudoalteromonadaceae. The record is from RNAcentral.
UGUGAGGGGAGUGAAAUAGAACCUGAAACCGUGUACGUACAAGCAGUAGGAGCCCACUUGUUGGGUGACUGCGUACCUUUUGUAUAAUGGGUCAGCGACUUAUAUUUUGUAGCGAGGUUAACCGAUUAGGGUAGCCGUAGGGAAACCGAGUCUUAACUGGGCGACUAGUUGCAAGGUAUAGACCCGAAACCCGGUGAUCUAGCCAUGGGCAGGUUGAAGGUUGAGUAACAUCAACUGGAGGACCGAACCCA